UGUCGCCAUGGCCACAUAAGCGUUCGCGCGACACGACCGAGGAACCUGACAACGGGAACCACCUGCAGCGAAGAACCGCCUGCAGAGGCACCACAAGGGAGGCAGCCGACCCCCAGACCCAAGCCCAAGGGUCUAAGUGACAGAAGACCAGCGGACACGAUAAAACAAAAGAACGCCGGCAAGCAGGAUGGUCCUGGGUGUGACUAGCUGAGGGCUGGUCGUGAAAGGUUUCUGCACUGGUCGAAAUGGACGCCGUUUGUGGUAGACUUCGCCGCCUGAAAAUGCGUCGACGAUGGUAUACAUCAUCGACGUGCCUCGCAAGUAUCGGAGCUUUAGCUGCCAUAAUAAAUCAUACUAAAGGUGUCUUCAUCUAUUUUGUGCGAUGAUGAAUAAAAAUUUAUUUUCAAAACGGUA
Molecule: long non-coding RNA, 414 nt
Organism: Rhipicephalus microplus (southern cattle tick)
Lineage: Eukaryota; Metazoa; Arthropoda; Arachnida; Ixodida; Ixodidae
Source: RefSeq, a predicted model, not a curated record